GUUUUACCGCGUUUGUUGUACCGAUCAAAAAGUUCUUCAACUUCCGUCAAACAGCGACGAUCUUCUUCCUCAUUUUCACGCACAAACUCUUCCAACGGAUACUGCAAUUACAAGAAAUAUGAGUACACCAGGUCGGAACUACUACGGAGUUACAACUAACCUCUGUAUGGCCUUUGGGAGCAAUACGUAACAGAGAAUUCUGGACUCGCUGAGGAUAAUUUUCACCAGGAAAUACACCGAGGGCAGGUCGGUUGAUGAAUCUU
Long non-coding RNA from Daphnia carinata, 263 nucleotides. RefSeq lists it as uncharacterized. NCBI's taxonomy places the organism in Eukaryota, Metazoa, Arthropoda, Branchiopoda, Diplostraca, Daphniidae. The transcript is spliced from 2 exons. The record is from RefSeq and is a predicted model, not a curated record.